This 23-nucleotide non-coding RNA is filed under the name Arabidopsis thaliana (thale cress). The record is from RNAcentral. Lineage: Eukaryota; Viridiplantae; Streptophyta; Magnoliopsida; Brassicales; Brassicaceae.
UUUAGAAUUGACUGGUUUGGGUU